This 460-nucleotide ribosomal RNA is filed under the name uncultured bacterium. RNAcentral's name for it is "partial 16S ribosomal RNA". It matches the Rfam family "Bacterial small subunit ribosomal RNA", at positions 338 to 795 of the family's 1533-position model. The record is from RNAcentral.
CCUACGGGUGGCAGCAGUGAGGAAUAUUGGUCAAUGGGCGCGAGCCUGAACCAGCAAAGUAGCGUGAAGGAUGACUGUCCUACGGGUUGUAAACUUCUUUUAUAAAGGAAUAAAGUGAGGCACGUGUGCCUUUUUGUAUGUACCUUAUGAAUAAGGAUCGGCUAACUCCGUGCCAGCAGCCGCGGUAAUACGGAGGAUCCGAGCGUUAUCCGGGUUUAUUGGGUUUAAAGGGAGCGUAGAUGGGUUGUUAAGUCAGUUGUGAAAGUUUGCGGCUCAACCGUAAAAUUGCAAUGGAUACUGGCAGCCUUGAGUGCAGUUGAGGUAGGCGGAAUUCGUGGUGUAGCGGUGAAAUGCUUAGAUAUCACGAAGAACUCCGAUUGCGAAGGCAGCUUACUAAACUGCCACUGACAUUGAUGCUCGAAAGUGUGGGUAUCAAACAGGAUUAGAUACCCCAGUAGUC